GGGCUGGCCGUAGCUCAGCGGUUCCUUCGACUUCAUCAUGUCAAAUUACUCUCUCUUGAGGGUGGUUCGAGACCCGCGGGCGCUCUCCAGUCCUUUU
RNAcentral lists this vault RNA (97 nucleotides) under Cervus elaphus hippelaphus. It matches the Rfam family "Vault RNA". Rfam says of the family: This family of RNAs are found as part of the enigmatic vault ribonucleoprotein complex. Lineage: Eukaryota; Metazoa; Chordata; Mammalia; Artiodactyla; Cervidae. RNAcentral also lists the same sequence under 1 other name. The record is from Rfam by way of RNAcentral.